This 468-nucleotide ribosomal RNA is filed under the name uncultured bacterium. Its description in RNAcentral is "partial 16S ribosomal RNA". It matches the Rfam family "Bacterial small subunit ribosomal RNA", at positions 28 to 507 of the family's 1533-position model. The record is from RNAcentral.
GACGAACGCUGGCGGCGUGCUUAACACAUGCAAGUCGAACGGAAAGGCCCUGCUUGUGUGGGGUGCUCGAGUGGAAAGCGGGUGUGAAACACGGGUGAUAUGUGCUCCUGAUUGGGGUAAGCCUUCAGGAAAGUGGGGAUUAUAGGGUCUAGGCGCUCCUGCUGCUGGGUGUGGGUAGGAUAGUUUGGGGGGUUGGGGGUUGACGCGCGGCUAGUCAGCUGGUUGGUUGGGGAGGGGCUUACCAGGGCUUUGACGGGUAGCCGGCCUGAGAGGGUGACCGGCCACAUUGGGACUGAGAUACGGCCCAGACUCCUACGGGAGGCAGCAGUGGGGAAUAUUGCACAAUGGGCGGAAGCCUGAUGCAGCAACGCCGCGUGCGGGAUGACGGCCUUCGGGUUGUAAACCGCUUUCGCCUGUGACGAAGCGUGAGUGACGGUAAUGGGUAAAGAAGCACCGGCUAACUACGUG